RNAcentral lists this ribosomal RNA (517 nucleotides) under uncultured bacterium. RNAcentral describes it as "bacterial SSU rRNA". It matches the Rfam family "Bacterial small subunit ribosomal RNA", at positions 317 to 826 of the family's 1533-position model. The record is from RNAcentral.
AACUGAGACACGGUCCAGACUCCUACGGGAGGCAGCAGUGGGGAAUUUUGGACAAUGGGCGCAAGCCUGAUCCAGCCAUGCCGCGUGAGUGAAGAAGGCCUUCGGGUUGUAAAGCUCUUUCAGCCGGGAAGAAAACGCAUGGGUUAAUACCCUGUGUGGAUGACGGUACCGGAAUAAGAAGCACCGGCUAACUACGUGCCAGCAGCCGCGGUAAUACGUAGGGUGCGAGCGUUAAUCGGAAUUACUGGGCGUAAAGCGUGCGCAGGCGGUUUGUUAAGAUAGGCGUGAAAUCCCCGGGCUCAACCUGGGAACUGCGUUUAUGACUGGCAGGCUAGAGUAUGGCAGAGGGGGGUGGAAUUCCACGUGUAGCAGUGAAAUGCGUAGAGAUGUGGAGGAACACCGAUGGCGAAGGCAGCCCCCUGGGCCAAUACUGACGCUCAUGCACGAAAGCGUGGGUAGCAAACAGGAUUAGAUACCCUGGUAGUCCACGCCCUAAACGAUGUCAACUAGGUGUUGG